GGUAAAAUGGCUGAAAAUUUAGGCAAUAAAUUGUAAAUUUAUUUAUGAGAAGUAUCUCUUUUACU
RNAcentral lists this transfer RNA (65 nucleotides) under Neoneuromus coomani. RNAcentral's name for it is "tRNA-Tyr". Lineage: Eukaryota; Metazoa; Arthropoda; Insecta; Megaloptera; Corydalidae. The record is from RNAcentral.